Long non-coding RNA from Pieris napi, 2788 nucleotides. RefSeq lists it as uncharacterized. The record is from RefSeq and is a predicted model, not a curated record. NCBI's taxonomy places the organism in Eukaryota, Metazoa, Arthropoda, Insecta, Lepidoptera, Pieridae. The transcript is spliced from 4 exons.
ACGUUCGCGAUAUAUGGUAUUUAUUAGUCAUACAUUCAUAAUGGGGAAACAUUUCAGUAUAAUUAAGUGUUCGACAGUAAUUUACGUGUUUUGUGUAUAAUGUUAUCUAAAAUAGUUUUACUAUGUUUCUUCAAUUGUUUAUACCUUCAUGCAAAAGCAGACACAGAAUGCGAUGAAUUUACCAUGGAUAUUGAGGAUAUUCGGGAAUUUAGCAGUUUUAAGCCAAUAAACAACUCAAUAACAUACAUACACACAACAGCCAAAGAACUCAGUGCCUGUGACUAUCUUCGGGUAUAUGUUGAGUUAGAAGAACCAGUGCCAGGACUAACGAGUGCAAAGGCCAACUUCACACUUAAGCUGGAAGACACAUCAAAGAGCAGUCUUGUAUCACAGGAGAAUCAGGUUAAUGGUGGACUUAUAGCUGGAAUUAUCAUUGGUCUAAUACUCCUCAUAAUUGCUGGAUAUUUUGGAUAUAAUAUACUGAUGGGAAAACUUAAAUCUGGAGUAUAUCGUUUCCCUCCAACAACGGAAACAAUUCAGUUUAAAACGUUAUAAAAAAUGUAAUUGAACCAAAAAUUCGCCAAUACUGCCGAUACUUUUAGCUUUAUACUUAUAUUCUAAUAAGCAAGAAUUUAUAUUAAGAAUGCAACAAUCUCAAUAUAAUUACAUAAUAUACGACAUCACACCAUCAUUAAGAGCGGACCCUAACCAAAAUUACUCAACGUAGAUUUGGUUUUAUCUAAGUAUGUCAUGCUUGAAAUAAAAACAAUAAAUAUGAAUUGAUCCUUCCCUAUAAUUUCAAUCGUUGACUCUAAUUAAAAACACAAUACUAUACAAAUUCCUUGAUACAAAAACACGAGGUCACUUGUUACUUUUGCCUACUUUCGUUUUUAUUCAAGCAUGGCAAGUAUUAUGGAGCCAAAAAAUAAUUGAAUUCCAGCACAUUAGUACUGUUACUAGCGAUUUCAUGAAAUAUCUUACGAGUUAUUUAAAUAAAAAGCAUUUGUCAUUAACUUCAUUUCUGUCCGUCUCAUCUCACGCGAACUUCAGGCAUACGUUUGUUUCACUCGUCUCUUGAGCGGGCGGAGAAAGAGGUUGAAAUCGUGCAUUUUGCUAUCGCGCUCUUAACAAACAAACGUGAAAAAUAUUUUAGAUAAAAUUGCUUUAACAAUGCAAUACGUUUUUGACAUACAAAACCGUAUAAAAACGUAUAGGAUUUUGAUAGUCGGAAGUAAUUUUUCGAGUGUCGUUUCCCAAUUUUCUUUGUGCCAUGUCCCUUAGCCUAUGUAACAUGCAUAAUUUUUAAUAUUAAAAAAAAAUAUUUCACUUAAGAAAAUUAUAUGAUAGCUUUUAGGAAAAAAAUACUAGGAAAUUGUUAACUGUUUAUUGGAAUUUGAAUUUUUCAUUAUACGUUUAAUACUUUAUAAUUACUUUAUAAGUAAGUAUAUCUUCAAAACGUAUAAUGAAAAAUUCAAAUUCCAAUAAAAACUCUGUCGGCGUUGGGAAACACUGAAUUAGAUAUCACUUAAUAGUCUAUAUCUAAAACAAUCAACAUUUAUUUUAAGAAAACUAUUUUAAGAAUCAGAAUCUAAAAAUAAUUCUUAUUGCUAUUCGCUAGAUUUCAACAGCCGUGUUUUGUUUCUUUGAAGGAACGAUGUCAAAACUGCGCAUGUCAGAAGCGACCAACAUAAAUUGAGACACGCAAACAAUUUUGUGAACAUUAUGCAAUAUAAAAGUUUAACUUAUACACACGUAUUCAAGUUUCGCCAAGAAAUAUUUAGACUAAAAUUUAAUUAGUUUUAUCAAAUUAGUAUAGAUACUGUAUCUAAUAUAUCCUUUAUUGUAAAACCUCAUAAUGUCCUCUUUUUUUAGAAUUUCACAUUAUUAAUUUAGCGCUUAAUUAUUGUAAAUUGUUGUAUUAUUUAAAUUGAGAGUUCAAAAUCUACAAAAGGAGAUCGAUUUUACAUAAAUUACAAUUUAAUUUAUUAAUUACACACUUGUAAUGUAUUGUUGAAAUUGUUUACAAUACUACUAGUUAAAUUAAAAUUAAACAAAGGAACUAACUAAGAAACUAAAACUAAUUAAACUAAGAUUAACAUUGACUUCAUAUAUUUUUGCAUUAUGAUGCCAAACCAAGAAACCGCGCUAAUAAUAACGAAACCAUUAAAUUUUUAUUAUUUGACUUCAUUUUAAUAAUUACAAUAUUUCAAAGGUUUAAUUACUGCUCUAAGUAAAUUUUAGUAAACGGGUAAAAAGGAUUCCCCUUAAUUCAGAAAAUAGGUCACAAAAUAUUUUUAUUCAAUACUUUAUAAAGUUAAAUAUAAUCGUUAUUUUGCCCCCCAGAUCACUUAACACUGGUCAAUGACAACUUCACUUGCUUCGGCAGUCGUCGGUGUUUGUCGUUGUCACUCGGUAAAUAGAGCCUUCACUAUUUAGGGGGACGUAUUUGAUUUAUUUGUCACAAUAAUAGCAAUUAAUUAAAAAGGUACGUUAAAUUUCUUUAGGUAAUACAAAAAAUCUAAUUCUUUAUUACCGUUAUUUUAUAUAACAGAUUUUAUAUUCAAAUAUACGUUUUAUAAUAUAUGAGAUAUAUAGUAAGGCUUUUAAAUUUCAAUAUCGUGGUAUUCAUCAGUAUAUAUAUGUUGCGUUUGUUUAUUUUCCUACAGCUAUGGUAAAUAGUAUAAAUUUUAUUUAAACUAACGUAUACUCUUGAUGUGCUAAGUACUCUUACGUUAAUGAUCGACCGAGUAAUCUAUCAUUAAAUUUUUAUUAAAUAUUAAAUCAAUAA